This 486-nucleotide ribosomal RNA is filed under the name uncultured Actinomycetales bacterium. RNAcentral's name for it is "bacterial SSU rRNA". It matches the Rfam family "Bacterial small subunit ribosomal RNA", at positions 1 to 507 of the family's 1533-position model. The record is from RNAcentral. Lineage: Bacteria; Bacillati; Actinomycetota; Actinomycetes; Actinomycetales.
UAGAGUUUGAUCCUGGCUCAGGACGAACGCUGGCGGCGUGCUUAACACAUGCAAGUCGAACGAUGAAGCCAGCUUGCUGGUGGAUUAGUGGCGAACGGGUGAGUAACACGUGGGCAACCUGCCCUCAGCUCUGGGAUAACUCCAAGAAAUUGGUGCUAAUACCGGAUAUUCAUUCAGCCUCGCAUGGGGUUGUGUGGAAAGUUUUUUCGGCUGGGGAUGGGCCCGCGGCCUAUCAGCUUGUUGGUGGGGUGAUGGCCUACCAAGGCGACGACGGGUAGCCGGCCUGAGAGGGUGACCGGCCACACUGGGACUGAGACACGGCCCAGACUCCUACGGGAGGCAGCAGUGGGGAAUAUUGCGCAAUGGGCGGAAGCCUGACGCAGCGACGCCGCGUGAGGGAUGACGGCCUUCGGGUUGUAAACCUCUUUCAGCAGGGACGAAGCGAAAGUGACGGUACCUGCAGAAGAAGCACCGGCCAACUACGUG